This 205-nucleotide ribosomal RNA is filed under the name uncultured bacterium. RNAcentral's name for it is "partial 16S ribosomal RNA". It matches the Rfam family "Bacterial small subunit ribosomal RNA", at positions 148 to 353 of the family's 1533-position model. The record is from RNAcentral.
UACUGGAAACGGUAGCUAAUACCGCAUAACGUCGCAAGACCAAAGAGGGGGACCUUCGGGCCUCUUGCCAUCGGAUGUGCCCAGAUGGGAUUAGCUAGUAGGUGGGGUAACGGCUCACCUAGGCGACGAUCCCUAGCUGGUCUGAGAGGAUGACCAGCCACACUGGAACUGAGACACGGUCCAGACUCCUACGGGAGGCAGCAUG